RNAcentral lists this ribosomal RNA (443 nucleotides) under uncultured bacterium. Its description in RNAcentral is "partial 16S ribosomal RNA". It matches the Rfam family "Bacterial small subunit ribosomal RNA", at positions 338 to 795 of the family's 1533-position model. The record is from RNAcentral.
CCUACGGGAGGCUGCAGUGGGGAAUAUUGGGCAAUGGGCGCAAGCCUGACCCAGCAACGCCGCGUGAAGGAAGAAGGCUUUCUGGUUGUAAACUUCUUUUUUCAGGGACGCAGCACGUGCCGGUACCUGACGAAUAAGCCACGGCUAACUACGUGCCAGCAGCCGCGGGAAUACGUAGGGGGCAAGCGUUAUCCGGAUUUACUGGGUGUAAAGGGCGUGUAGGCGGGACUGCAAGGCAGAUGUGAAAACCACGGGCUCAACCUGUGGCCUGCAUUUGAAACUGUAGUUCUUGAGUACGGGAGAGGCAGACGGAAUUCCUAGUGUAGCGGUGAAAUGCGUAGAUAUUAGGAGGAACACCAGUGGCGAAGGCGGUCUGCUGGACAGCAACUGACGCUGAGGCGCGAAAGCGUGGGGAGCAAACAGGAUUAGAUACCCCAGUAGUC